Long non-coding RNA from Manihot esculenta (cassava), 401 nucleotides. RefSeq lists it as uncharacterized. Lineage: Eukaryota; Viridiplantae; Streptophyta; Magnoliopsida; Malpighiales; Euphorbiaceae. The record is from RefSeq and is a predicted model, not a curated record. The transcript has 2 exons.
UAGACUUACAAAGAUAGAACUACUUAGACAACUUGAUACUUCAAGAAGAGAAGCAAACGAGCGUGUCCAACAAAUUCAAAAAGAAGCAAGCGAACAAGUAAAUGAUGUUAAGAAGCAAAUGGAUGAGAAACUUGCAGAGAUGAAUAGAAUAUGGGAGCAGAAAUUCAAUAUGCUUUUGGAGAAAAACAAUAAUAUUGCAUCACCUAUGGAGGAUUCCCAAGAUGAUGAAAUUGGAGGAUGAUUUGCAGUAUAUUUGAAGUUUUGGAUUUUGAAGCAGCCAGCAGCCUUAUAAUACUACUUUUAUAAAAUUUAGAUAUUAAUAUUAGUGUUAGUAUAGUAUUAUAAUUUCAAGUAUUUUUAGUGUGAUUGCUUUAUGAUUUAAAUUAGUUUAUUUUGGAUAU